GAGCCGCGAUAGCUCAUUACAACAGCCAUCGUUUACUAGAAAAUAGUUGUCCUACUUGGAUAACUGUGGCAAUUCUAGAGCUAAUACAUGCAAAAAGGCUCAAUACCGCAAGGUUUGAGCGCAUUUAUUAGAAUAAAAACCAAUCGGGUCUAAACGCCCGCUCUUUGGUGAAUCUGAAUAACUUUGCUGAUCGCAGGUCCUAGUGCCGGCGACGUAUCUUUCAAGUGUCUGCCUUAUCAACUUUCGAUGGUAGGCUAUACGCCUACCAUGGUAGUAACGGGUAACGGAGAAUAAGGGUUCGACUCCGGAGAGGGAGCCUGAGAAACGGCUACCACAUCCAAGGAAGGCAGCAGGCGCGCAAAUUACCCACUUCCAGAACGGAGAGGUAGUGACGAAAAAUAACGAGACAGUCCUCUUCGAGGUCUGUCAUCGGAAUGGGUACAAUUUAAAUCCUUUAACGAGGAUCUAUUGGAGGGCAAGUCUGGUGCCAGCAGCCGCGGUAAUUCCAGCUCCAAUAGCGUAUAUUAAAGUUGUUGCGGUUAAAACGCUCGUAGUUGGAUCUGCGGCCUGAGAGAACGGUCCCCCGAAAGGGUGGUAGCUGUUACUCUUGGCCUAUAUCUUCAGUCGACUCUAUGGUGCCCUUAACCGGGUGCCUAGAGUGACUGGAACGUUUACUUUGAAAAAAUUAGAGUGCUUAAAGCAGGCGAAUUUGCCUGAAUAAGGUGCAUGGAAUAAUGGAAUAGGACCUCGGUUCUAUUUUGUUGGUUUUCGGAGCCUGAGGUAAUGAUUAAGAGGAACAGACGGGGGCAUUCGUAUUCCGGCGCUAGAGGUGAAAUUCUUGGACCGCCGGAAGACGGACGACUGCGAAAGCAUUUGCCAAGAAUGUUUUCAUUAAUCAAGAACGAAAGUUAGAGGUUCGAAGGCGAUCAGAUACCGCCCUAGUUCUAACCGUAAACGAUGACAACCAGCGAUUAGCAGGCGUUAAUAUAUGACCCUGCUAGCAGCUUCCGGGAAACCAAAGUUUUUCGUUUCCGGGGGAAGUAUGGUUGCAAAGCUGAAACUUAAAGGAAUUGACGGAAGGGCACCACCAGGAGUGGAGCCUGCGGCUUAAUUUGACUCAACACGGGAAAACUCACCCGGCCCGGACACCGUAAGGAUUGACAGACUGAGAGCUCUUUCUUAAUUCGGUGGGUGGUGGUGCAUGGCCGUUCUUAGUUGGUGGAGCGAUUUGUCUGGUUAAUUCCGAUAACGAACGAGACUCUGGCCUAUUAAAUAGCCGGUAUAUAUUGAAAGUUUGCCGCGCUUCUUAGAGGGACAACCGGCUUCUAGCCGCGUGAAAUAGAGCAAUAACAGGUCUGUGAUGCCCUUAGAUGUCCGGGGCUGCACGCGCGCUACACUGAAAGAAUCAGUAUGCGCUUUUGCCUAGUUCGGAAGAACUGGGUAACCCUAGCAAAUUCUUUCGUGCUUGGGAUAGGGAAUUGCAAUUAUUUCCCUUAAACGAGGAAUUCCCAGUAAAUGCGGGUCAUAAGCUCGCGUUGAUUACGUCCCUGCCCUUUGUACACACCGCCCGUCGCUACUACCGAUUGGAUGACUUAGUGAGGUCUUAGGACUGAGGUAAAGGAGCUUUAACGAGUUCCUUUGCUUUGGAAAUUUGAUCGAACUACGUUAUCUAGAGGAAGUAAAAGUCGUAACAAGGUUUCCGUAGGUGAACCUGCGGAAGGAUCAUUAACAAGCUGAAUUAAAAUAAUGAAAGGGCAGAAAAACGCUCUAUGUGACCAGGAUUGGAUAUAAAGCGGAUCCUGCGUUACUGAGGCCCUUUGUAUACGCCACUCCAGUGGGAAAAGCGGUAAGGCGCUUUUGUGCGCAGAGCCCGUCAUUGGAGGAGCGCGUAUGACCGUGAUAAAGCGGUAGACGAAAGAAGGGCAGAACGUGAACGUAUACUACGUUCCGUCGUUAACCCCAUCUAAUGGUUGAGUAAGUAGUUUGUCCAUCGUUAUGCGCCACUCAGCUUGUGUAGGGUGGACCGCGAUGGAUAGACGAAAACGACGCCUCUCUAGAUGGGCAGUGACUGGUAGGGCUAGUCUCGCUCUCUCUUUGUGAUCGCUGGUGCGCCUGGUUGUAGCGGAGUUUGGAUACCUACCCGGCACCUGUGAUACGCGACGCAAUGAGAGGGUGUGCAGCGGUAUAGCGCCAAUGAGAUUAGCUAACUAUCGACCAGUCCGUUGAUGAUUGAUCGUUACUAUACGGGAACUAUACGCCCGUUUUCUGCCAGCAUUAUUGCGGAGAAUGUAUAUGACCAUCAGACGAUUGGGAACUAAGCGUUGUGUAAAAUAAAAGCGUGUUGGAUAUAGAAGCGAGCCAGUAGAAACGAACGACUGGCGUCUGCUGGACACGCUUUGGCAACGUUUUGUAGUUUCUUCGGAGGGUACCUAUCGAAGCUAGCGCUGCAGCUGCGUCUGGCUGCACAGAGACGCGCUAGUUUCGGAAGCCUCGUAACUCGCUUAUGAGGGGAGGUUUAAAGAGCCGUUGGUUCCUGUGGACGAUUGACAGGAACGACCAGGUGAAAGCGUUUAGAAGCAUUUGCAGUCGAGAGGCAUGAUCGCUCUCGCUGUAUAGAGGCGCUAUUUACGCUGGUUCAGGACAGCGAAUUCGUGUCCGGGCGGCCGCCCUUCAAAAACCAAAACUAUCUGAACGAAUAAACGAAUAUGUUUAUAAACGAAUCCUAGAGGAUUCCAUUCUAAGCGGUGGAUCACUAGGCUCGCGGGUCGAUGAAGAACGGGGCCAGCCCCGAGAAUAAGUGCGAAUUGCAGACACAAAGAGCAUCGACUUUCGAACGCAUAUGCGGUAUCGGGCCUGCUCGAUACCACGCCUAUCUGAGGGUCGAAUUUGAUACCCAACUCGUUGUACUCACAGGCGCUACCUGGGUGAAUAAACCAUGACCAGGUCGAAAUAAUAUGCCUGCGUACAAGUAGUUGACUUGAGACUGGACGGUCCUGUCUUCCGAGCGUGGACAGGCGGAGAAGGUCGUUAAGUCAAAAGGGACUACUGGUUUACUGCCGUUAUCGGCCGUUUGACGAUUAUAACGUUUGGAUCGUUUGUAUAUAAAGCGGUGGGAUAGCUGGUAGUGAUAAAGUAGUACCAGACGGUGUAGCACGGUUGAUCGUUUCUGCUUAUGAUCGCUAUUACAAAAUACGAUAGUGAUUGUAAGUCAGCAGCGGUAGGGAAAGUAUGACCGUAAUACCCGUAGGAUACAGUGUGACUCUAGUACGCGUGCGCGCUCAUCGUUCCGUCUUGUCUCAGGUACCCUAAGAAGGUCGACUGAGAAGAGAAAAAGACGGUUAGUUAAUAAUAUACGAUGAGUGGGAAAGAGGCUCUUGCGUACCUGAAACGAUGAGGAUCACUGUCUGAUGGUUUGACCUCAGAUUAGACGUGAAAACCCGCCGAAUUUAAGCAUAUAACUAGGCGGAGGAAAAGAAAUUAAUGAAGAUUUCCUUAGUAACGGCGAGUGAAAA
RNAcentral lists this ribosomal RNA (3512 nucleotides) under Longidorus juglans. RNAcentral's name for it is "SSU rRNA". The stretch from base 1 to 1728 matches the Rfam family "Eukaryotic small subunit ribosomal RNA". The record is from RNAcentral. Lineage: Eukaryota; Metazoa; Nematoda; Enoplea; Dorylaimida; Longidoridae.